Molecule: long non-coding RNA, 231 nt
Filed under: Elaeis guineensis (African oil palm)
Lineage: Eukaryota; Viridiplantae; Streptophyta; Magnoliopsida; Arecales; Arecaceae
Description: long non-coding RNA (EGUI_LNC020643)
Source: RNAcentral
AGGGACCCUUUUUUAAAAAGGUCUAAAUUUUUUUCAUCAAAAGGCAGCAAAUUUCAGAGAAGAAUUUAAAUUCUUACUCCACAAUCUUUGUUUUAAGUUCAAGCAAAUAUAGAAAAUUUGAAAUAAGGUCAUUAUACCUAUUAUGAAGCAUAAACAUCAUGCCUCUACUUAGCAUAAAAAAAUUAUCAACUAGAUACAUUUGUUGCUACAAGAUAUGGAGAAAGAAUAGCA